CUCCCGAGUGCUUGCACUCAAUUGGAAAGAGGAGUGGCGGACGGGUGAGUAACACGUGGGUAACCUACCCAUCAGAGGGGGAUAACACUUGGAAACAGGUGCUAAUACCGCAUAACAGUUUAUGCCGCAUGGCAUAAGAGUGAAAGGCGCUUUCGGGUGUCGCUGAUGGAUGGACCCGCGGUGCAUUAGCUAGUUGGUGAGGUAACGGCUCACCAAGGCCACGAUGCAUAGCCGACCUGAGAGGGUGAUCGGCCACACUGGGACUGAGACACGGCCCAGACUCCUACGGGAGGCAGCAGUAGGGAAUCUUCGGCAAUGGACGAAAGUCUGACCGAGCAACGCCGCGUGAGUGAAGAAGGUUUUCGGAUCGUAAAACUCUGUUGUUAGAGAAGAACAAGGACGUUAGUAACUGAACGUCCCCUGACGGUAUCUAACCAGAAAGCCACGGCUAACUACGUGCCAGCAGCCGCGGUAAUACGUAGGUGGCAAGCGUUGUCCGGAUUUAUUGGGCGUAAAGCGAGCGCAGGCGGUUUCUUAAGUCUGAUGUGAAAGCCCCCGGCUCAACCGGGGAGGGUCAUUGGAAACUGGGAGACUUGAGUGCAGAAGAGGAGAGUGGAAUUCCAUGGGUUAA
RNAcentral lists this ribosomal RNA (631 nucleotides) under Enterococcus faecalis. Its description in RNAcentral is "bacterial SSU rRNA". It matches the Rfam family "Bacterial small subunit ribosomal RNA", at positions 69 to 679 of the family's 1533-position model. The record is from RNAcentral. Lineage: Bacteria; Bacillati; Bacillota; Bacilli; Lactobacillales; Enterococcaceae.